Molecule: ribosomal RNA, 301 nt
Filed under: uncultured bacterium
Lineage: Bacteria
Description: partial 16S ribosomal RNA
Rfam family: Bacterial small subunit ribosomal RNA
Source: RNAcentral
CAGUAGCCGCGGUAAUACGUAGGGUGCGAGCGUUAAUCGGAAUUACUGGGCGUAAAGCGUGCGCAGGCGGUUUUGUAAGACAGGCGUGAAAUCCCCGGGCUCAACCAGGGAAUGGCGCUUGUGACUGCAAAGCUAGAGUGCGGCAGAGGGGGAUGGAAUUCCGCGUGUAGCAGUGAAAUGCGUAGAUAUGCGGAGGAACACCGAUGGCGAAGGCAAUCCCCUGGGCCUGCACUGACGCUCAUGCACGAAAGCGUGGGGAGCAAACAGGAUUAGAUACCCCUGUAGUCCCUGUCUCUUAUAA